GCCGGGCGUGGUGGUGCGCGCCUGUAAUCCCAGCUACUCAGGAGGCUGAGGCAGAAGAAUCACUUGAACUUGGGAAGUGGAGGUUGCAGUGAGCUGAGGUGGUGCCACUGCACUCCAGCCCGGGUGACAGAGCGAGACUCCGUCUCAA
This 148-nucleotide non-coding RNA is filed under the name Gorilla gorilla gorilla (western lowland gorilla). Lineage: Eukaryota; Metazoa; Chordata; Mammalia; Primates; Hominidae. The record is from Rfam by way of RNAcentral.